AACAGGAUUAGAUACCCUGGUAGUCCACGCUGUAAACGAUGUCGACUUGGAGGUUGUGCCCUUGAGGCGUGGCUUCCGGAGCUAACGCGUUAAGUCGACCGCCUGGGGAGUACGGCCGCAAGGUUAAAACUCAAAUGAAUUGACGGGGGCCCGCACAAGCGGUGGAGCAUGUGGUUUAAUUCGAUGCAACGCGAAGAACCUUACCUACUCUUGACAUCCAGAGAAUUUGCUAGAGAUAGCUUAGUGCCUUCGGGAACUCUGAGACAGGUGCUGCAUGGCUGUCGUCAACUCGUGUUGUGAAAUGUUGGGUUAGGUCCCGCAACGAGCGCAACCCUUAUCCUUUGUUGCCAGCGAGUAAUGUCGGGAACUCAAAGGAGACUGCCGGUGAUAAACCGGAGGAAGGUGGGGAUGACGUCAAGUCAUCAUGGCCCUUACGAGUAGGGCUACACACGUGCUACAAUGGCAUAUACAAAGAGAAGCGAACUCGCGAGAGCAAGCGGACCUCAUAAAGUAUGUCGUAGUCCGGAUUGGAGUCUGCAACUCGACUCCAUGAAGUCGGAAUCGCUAGUAAUCGUAGAUCAGAAUGCUACGGUGAAUACGUUCCCGGGCCUUGUACACACCGCCCGUCACACCAUGGGAGUGGGUUGCAAAAGAAGUAGGUAGCUUAACCUUCGGGAGGGCGCUUACCACUUUGUGAUUCAUGACUGGGGUGAAGUCGUAACAAGGUAACC
Molecule: ribosomal RNA, 731 nt
Filed under: uncultured bacterium
Lineage: Bacteria
Description: bacterial SSU rRNA
Rfam family: Bacterial small subunit ribosomal RNA
Source: RNAcentral